AGAGUUUGAUCCUGGCUCAGGAUAAACGCUGGCGGCGCACAUAAGACAUGCAAGUCGAACGAACUUAAUUCGAAUGUUUACAUUUGGAAGCGGUUAGUGGCGGACUGGUGAGUAACACGUAAGCAACCUGCCUGUUAGAGGGGAAUAACAGUGAGAAAUCAUUGCUAAUACCGCAUAUGCCACAGAAACCACAUGGUUUUAGUGGAAAAGGAGAAAUCCGCUAACAGAUGGGCUUGCGUCUGAUUAGAUAGUUGGUGGGGUAAAGGCCUACCAAGUCGACGAUCAGUAGCCGAACUGAGAGGUUGAACGGCCACAUUGGGACUGAGAUACGGCCCAGACUCCUACGGGAGGCAGCAGUCGGGAAUAUUGCACAAUGGAGGGAACUCUGAUGCAGUGACGCCGCGUGCAGGAAGAAGGUUUUCGGAUUGUAAACUGCUUUAGACAGGGAAGAAAAAGACAGUACCUGUAGAAUAAGCUCCGGCUAACUACGUG
This 492-nucleotide ribosomal RNA is filed under the name uncultured bacterium. RNAcentral's name for it is "bacterial SSU rRNA". It matches the Rfam family "Bacterial small subunit ribosomal RNA", at positions 8 to 507 of the family's 1533-position model. The record is from RNAcentral.